UGGGCCACAAGCCUGAUCCAGCAAUUCUGUGUGCACGAUGAAGGUCUUCGGAUUGUAAAGUGCUUUCAGUUGGGAAGAAGAAAGUGACGGUACCAACAGAAGAAGCGACGGCUAAAUACGUGCCAGCAGCCGCGGUAAU
This 139-nucleotide ribosomal RNA is filed under the name uncultured bacterium. RNAcentral describes it as "partial 16S ribosomal RNA". It matches the Rfam family "Bacterial small subunit ribosomal RNA", at positions 372 to 524 of the family's 1533-position model. The record is from RNAcentral.